Populus trichocarpa (black cottonwood) is the source of this 868-nucleotide long non-coding RNA. RefSeq lists it as uncharacterized. The record is from RefSeq and is a predicted model, not a curated record. The transcript is spliced from 2 exons. Lineage: Eukaryota; Viridiplantae; Streptophyta; Magnoliopsida; Malpighiales; Salicaceae.
UGAUUCCACAACUGUUUGCAUCAGCCCAACCCACCUCAUCUAUGAAUUGAGACAUGGGGUCAUCAUGGUUUGAUGCGUUCAGUGUUUCUGCAGGCAAGUCUGCUUUAGUUAAAGUGAAAGGAAGCUUCAUUCCAGGCAGGUCAACAGGAUCAAGCAUAGAUAGUGAGUUUAUCUGUGAUGCAUUUACCCAAGAUGAUUUGAUAAUGGCCAUUGAUAAGGCACUCAUGCCAUGAAAGACUAGCCUAGGAACACCUAAUGCUUGGCAUGAAGCAAGUGUAAAGCCUAGAAAGAAAUCCGAAAUAACACACAAAGGAGGGGUGUUGGAUUUUAUCAUGGUUUCCAGUACCUCUUCAAAGGGCUUUUGGAGUUGUUUGGUGGCGUGGAGAAAAGGAAGCAAGAACUCCAUUGAAGGUAGUUGAGAUGUGUUUUCACAACCUUCAGGGAGGCCUUCAAUAGUGGGGAAUGGAAUUUCAUUGAGAUGGAUGUCAGGGUGAUUAGGAACACACUUGGCUAUUGAUUUAGCAUUUGAAGGGGUGGUGAUGAUGGUCACUUUGAUUUGUUGAAGUGAAAGAGCUUUUGAUAGGUCUAGCAAUGGAAGAGUAUGGCCUUGAGACAUGAAAGGGAAGAUGACAACAUGGGAUGCCGAAGGGGAAGGCAUGGUAUCAGUACCCUUGCUCUCUCUAGCGUUUCUAGGGGCUUGAUUUGCUUUAUCAACGAACUUGUGUGUGUUCCUCGAUGGUGCAAAAUAUUGUUGCUUAUAUAUAGAUUCGAGAAGGCAAUGCCUCACAAGUCGUGAAUUUGAAUCUCUCAAUUGUAAUGGAAAAAUAAUAUAAUAUAAGAAACAAUCUCGAUGGACACUUUUACCCAA